RNAcentral lists this ribosomal RNA (253 nucleotides) under uncultured bacterium. RNAcentral describes it as "partial 16S ribosomal RNA". It matches the Rfam family "Bacterial small subunit ribosomal RNA", at positions 524 to 776 of the family's 1533-position model. The record is from RNAcentral.
UACGUAGGGGGCUAGCGUUGUCCGGAUUUAUUGGGCGUAAAGAGCGUGUAGGCGGCCAGGUAGGUCGGUUGUGAAAACUGGAGGCUCAACCUUCAGAGGUCGACCGAAACCAUCUGGCUAGAGUCCGGGAGAGGAGAGUGGAAUUCCUGGUGUAGCGGUGAAAUGCGCAGAUAUCAGGAGGAACACCGAUGGCGAAGGCAGGUCUCUGGGCCAUAACUGACGCUGAGAAGCGAAAGCAUGGGGAGCGAACAGG